Molecule: ribosomal RNA, 379 nt
Filed under: uncultured bacterium
Lineage: Bacteria
Description: bacterial SSU rRNA
Rfam family: Bacterial small subunit ribosomal RNA
Source: RNAcentral
GACGAACGCUGGCGGCAGGCUUAACACAUGCAAGUCGAACGAGGUAGCAAUACCUAGUGGCGCACGGGUGCGUAACACGUAGCCAAUCUGCCCUGGAGUGGGGAAUAACCAUCCGAAAGGAUGGCUAAUACCGCAUAUUGACAAGAGGUGGCAUCACCUUCUGUUGAAAGCUAUAUGCGCUCCGGGAUGAGGCUGCGGUGGAUUAGGUAGUUGGUAGGGUAACGGCCUACCAAGCCGACGAUCCAUAGCUGGUCUGAGAGGAUGAUCAGCCACACUGGGACUGAGACACGGCCCAGACUCCUACGGGAGGCAGCAGUGGGGGAAUCUUGCGCAAUGGGCGAAAGCCUGACGCAGCGACGCCGCGUGAGGGAUGACGGCC